RNAcentral lists this ribosomal RNA (450 nucleotides) under uncultured Glomus. Its description in RNAcentral is "SSU rRNA". It matches the Rfam family "Eukaryotic small subunit ribosomal RNA", at positions 569 to 1024 of the family's 1831-position model. Lineage: Eukaryota; Fungi; Glomeromycota; Glomeromycetes; Glomerales; Glomeraceae. The record is from RNAcentral.
AGCAGCCGCGGUAAUUCCAGCUCCAAUAGCGUAUAUUAAAGUUGUUGCAGUUAAAAAGCUCGUAGUUGAAUUUCGGGGUUAGUAGGUUGGUCAUGCCUCCGGUAUGUACUGGUCUCACUGACUCCUCCUUCCUGAUGAACCGUAAUGCCAUUAAUUUGGUGUUGCGGGGAAUUUGGACUGUUACUUUGAAAAAUUAGAGUGUUUAAAGCAAGCUAACGCUUGAAUACAUUAGCAUGGAAUAAUGAAAUAGGACGUUCGAUCCUAUUUUGUUGGUUUCUAGGAUUGACGUAAUGAUUAAUAGGGAUAGUUGGGGGCAUUAGUAUUCAAUUGUCAGAGGUGAAAUUCUUGGAUUUAUUGAAGACUAACUACUGCGAAAGCAUUUGCCAAGGAUGUUUUCAUUAAUCAAGAACGAAAGUUAGGGGAUCGAAGACGAUCAGAUACCGUCGUAGU